Molecule: unclassified non-coding RNA, 379 nt
Filed under: uncultured Verrucomicrobiae bacterium
Lineage: Bacteria; Pseudomonadati; Verrucomicrobiota; Verrucomicrobiia
Description: contains 16S-23S intergenic spacer region
Source: RNAcentral
UCGCGGCUUAUCACCGGCAGUCCCCUUAGAGUGCCCAACUUAAUGAUGGCAACUAAGGGCGAGGGUUGCGCUCGUUGCGGGACUUAACCCAACAUCUCACGACACGAGCUGACGACAGCCAUGCAGCACCUGUGCACGGACUCCGAAGAGGGCCUCGACUUUCAUCGAGGUUUCCCGUGCAUGUCAAGGCCAGGUAAGGUUCUUCGCGUUGCAUCGAAUUAAGCCACAUACUCCACCGCUUGUGCAGGCCCCCGUCAAUUUCUUUGAGUUUUAAUCUUGCGACCGUACUUCCCAGGCGGCUUGCUUAACGCGUUAGCUCCGCCACAAGAGGGGUCGAUUCCUCUUACAGCAAGCAAGCACCGUUUAGGGCUAGGACUAC